AUGGCUGUGUUCUUAGAUUGGAUCCCAGGUUCCAACGCUGUGGCUGGCCUUGGAGAAGCAGAGGGGCAGGAACCCACUGCCAGGACCUGGACAGACCCAACCUUGUCCUCCCUGGAUCCCACAGGCCCCUCUUCCCUGCCUCUCCCUGAUGCUGGCGGCUCGGGGAUGCUGCUGAGAGAGGCUGGUCCCCAGCUCUGAGAGGCUUCAAGGCAUCACCAUGGAGACGCUCCAGGCCGCCAGCCACACAAAAGGAGCUGUGAGUUCCCCAGCUCACCUGGGACUCCGAGCUAACGAGGAGGUGGCAAAAGUGUUUCAUUUUCUCUCCUUGUUCUCUUACAAAAAGAAAGAGGCAAUUUACACAGACAAACAAACCCCACCCUGCCCUGAAAGGAAGCUGCUAAGCCUGUCCUUCCAUGGUGACUGGCCUCCUCCUCAGAGAAGAAGGGAGAAGCCUGGGCCUGGAGGUCUACAAUGGGACAUUCGCAGGAAAGAAAGGGGGAUGGAGGGACCAACAGGAAACCUAGGGCCGGCCCCCUUCUCCUACCCAAAUAGAGAGGCCAGCUCAGAGCCAAGUGUAUGAGUCCUCUCUUCUUCCAGGGUCACGCACAGCUCUGGAUGAUGGGCUGCCGAAGUAAGACAGCCAAGGCUGAAAGAGGGGGUGCCUGACAGAGCAGAGCCGCAAAAGGCAAACCCCUGCACCCCAGAACACCUGGUCACACCCUUGGCUCUGACACUUCCCAGCUGCGUAACCUUGGUUUUGUGACCUAGACUCUCAGAGACCUGCCCUUCUUGUCACGUUUACACCUCGGACGGUGAACCAGGUUGUGACGGUCACAAGUGAACCCUCCGAGGCCAGUGCCUGGCACACAGUAGGUUGCCCUCCAGAUACAGUUAUCAAAAGUUCCUCCAGCAAAGAAGCUACUUCUGGCUCCAUGGAGCCGCCUCCUGGUCCCUUGACGGGAAUACUCUUGACCGCUCUGUUGGUGACCGUGACAAACCCCAGACAAACCCCAGCACCUAAAGCUCAAGGCAGAGAAGCAAGGAUCUCACAGGCUAAGAAAUACACCUGCCUUCUGAUCCGGAGUUCCAUUUAAAGGAUUACACUAUAAAAGCCUUACUUAUCCUGCAAAAAGACAAAUGCAUAAGGAUGUUCAAUUCGGCAUUGUUUAUAGUAAUAAAAAAUGGAAACUCAUAAAUAUCCAUGAACAAGGCAAUCUAUGAAAUCACCGUGGUACAGACACACAGUGGGAUACUACAUAGCCAUUAAAAAGAAUGAAGUGGAAAAACAGACUGCCAUGAAAGCUCUCGAAGACACAGUCAGUAAAAAAGUAAGCCACGAAACGAUACACUCAGUGUAUUUAAAAAACAAUCUGUGUUUGUGUGGGGGGAUACACAGUUUCAAGUAAAAUAAUGUAUGUAAAAAAACUG
Long non-coding RNA from Felis catus (domestic cat), 1428 nucleotides. RefSeq lists it as uncharacterized. NCBI's taxonomy places the organism in Eukaryota, Metazoa, Chordata, Mammalia, Carnivora, Felidae. The transcript is spliced from 3 exons. The record is from RefSeq and is a predicted model, not a curated record.